RNAcentral lists this transfer RNA (70 nucleotides) under Camelus bactrianus (Bactrian camel). It matches the Rfam family "tRNA". From Rfam's summary of the family: Transfer RNA (tRNA) molecules are approximately 80 nucleotides in length. Lineage: Eukaryota; Metazoa; Chordata; Mammalia; Artiodactyla; Camelidae. The record is from Rfam by way of RNAcentral. RNAcentral also lists the same sequence under 2 other names.
GGAACUAGCUCAGGGGUAGAGCACACGCUUAGCAUGCGAGAGGUCCUGGGUUUAAUCCCCAGUACCUCCA